This is a long non-coding RNA of Daucus carota subsp. sativus, 823 nucleotides long. RefSeq lists it as uncharacterized. The transcript has 3 exons. The record is from RefSeq and is a predicted model, not a curated record. Lineage: Eukaryota; Viridiplantae; Streptophyta; Magnoliopsida; Apiales; Apiaceae.
AAAAUCAAUAUCACUUUCGAUUCAUUAAAAUCUACGCCCCCUCGAGUUCAAACUUUUCCAUACAUUGUGUAGAGGCCACUCCACUCAGCUACGGGUUAACCCAUCCAACAGUGGAAAAAGGAAUCCCGGCCUUUGGUUUGCCAACUUAUAGUUAAUAAAAUUGUGGGUGGGUGCAUGCUUUGGUAUAUUUAUAUGAAGAAUAUACUGAAAUGCAACUGUUAAAAUUCGGAAGUGAUAUCAUAAAAUAAUUGACAUAUCCCAUGUUCAAGCAAAAACAAGACCAGAUUACAACUCAAGGGGGAAGUGAUACAAAAAAGUACAGGAUGUCUCUGGGUACUCAAGAACUGAAUAAUGAAGAUAAUUAAACAAAAUAAGCAACCAGGGAGAUGAUGGCAGCAAGUGCAGCCGGUACACCCAACAUUGUUCCAGCACUCUCCGGUGUUGGUGAUGGUGCAGGUGCUGAAACACCCUCAAGUGCGGCUGUUGCUCCCAAGUUCAAGAAAGCAACAAGAACCAUUACGAAGAUGGUAAAAACUUUGGCAGCCUUGAAACUCUCCAUCCCUUUACUUUCCAAGUUUUUUCUUGAGUGCUGCUGACAGUUGGAAAGAAUCAAGACUUGUGUUUUGCUUUUAAGUUGUGAAUAGAGAAGAGAAUGGAAAUGGAUUUAUAUGGGUUGGUUUUGUGAAGUUCACAAGAAUUUGCCAACUAUUUCUUGUUUGUUUUACAAUGAAUGAUAAUACUGAAUGUUGUUUAGGCUGUCAAUAAUGUUUGCAUCUUACUUAAUUAACACUCUGUAUGAACCAGGCUGGCUUAAGUGUGCAAA